UAACGGCGAGUGAAGAGGGAAGAGCUCAGUUUUGUAAUCUGGCAGUGAUUCACUGUCCGAGUUGUAAAUUGAAGAGAGUGUCAUCCACGCUGGACCACGUCCAAAUUGUAAUGAUCCACAGUCCUUUGAUGGAGUAUCAGAGAGGGUAAUACUCCCGUCUUUAACGUGGACUUGCCAGUGUUUCUGUGAUGCACUCUCUCAGAGUGGAGUAGUUUGGACAAUCCUGCUCUAAUGGGAGGUACACUCCCUUCUAACAGCUAAAUAUUCGUCGAGAGACC
This 278-nucleotide ribosomal RNA is filed under the name Cantharellus odoratus. RNAcentral's name for it is "partial 28S ribosomal RNA". It matches the Rfam family "Eukaryotic large subunit ribosomal RNA", at positions 84 to 335 of the family's 3401-position model. Lineage: Eukaryota; Fungi; Basidiomycota; Agaricomycetes; Cantharellales; Hydnaceae. The record is from RNAcentral.